CCUACGGGAGGCAGCAGUGGGGAAUAUUGGGCAAUGGACGCAAGUCUGACCCAGCAACGCCGCGUGAAGGAAGAAGGCUUUCGGGUUGUAAACUUCUUUGAAGGGGGAAGAGCAGAAGACGGUACCCCUUGAAUAAGCCACGGCUAACUACGUGCCAGCAGCCGCGGUAAUACGUAGGUGGCAAGCGUUUUCCGGGUUGACCGGGCGUAAAGGGCGGGCAGCGGGGUAGACAAGUCAGCUGUGAAAUCCACGGGCUCAACCCGUGAACUUCAUCUGAAACUAUUUCCCUUGAGUGUCGGAGAGGUAAUCGGAAUUCCUUGUGUAGCGGUGAAAUGCGUAGAUAUAAGGAAGAACACCAGGGGCGAAGGCGGAUUACUGGACGAUAACUGACGGUGAGGCGCGAAAGCGUGGGGAGCAAACAGGAUUAGAUACCCCAGUAGUC
RNAcentral lists this ribosomal RNA (442 nucleotides) under uncultured bacterium. Its description in RNAcentral is "partial 16S ribosomal RNA". It matches the Rfam family "Bacterial small subunit ribosomal RNA", at positions 338 to 795 of the family's 1533-position model. The record is from RNAcentral.